UCCUCAGACACAGUGGUGACCAUGGCCUUCAGGGGCUCUAGGGCACGGAUUGUCUCCUUCUGAUGAGCUAAAGAGAGCAGAGGAUAGAAAUGCUGCUAGAUACCGAGUAAUGUCACUUGCAGAUAUUUUCCUCUUUGCCAGAACUUUAAUGUAAGUAUUCAUUGUACUGUAAGUACAGUACUGUAAUGUAAGUAUUCAGUGUACAAAUACCAUGCAGCACACUCUGUAUUUUAAAACUUAAAAUGCAUGCAUAAAUCUAAAAACAGGAAUGACUUUUCUUAUUAUAGUUGGGUGUGAGUUUCCUUCCUGUGCUGUAACUGUACCAAAGGUUUUUUCUGAGCUCUUUCAUUAUGACACUGGUACCAGGACAGCUCCCCAGAAGAUGGCAAAAAUUAGAGCACUAGCAUAGCUCACUUGGUGUGAACAAAGAACACUGUGUUCUGAGGUGUAAUUGGAGUGUUCCACAACUGGCUGCUGACCACUUGGCAAAGAGGAGUCAAUAAAACAUCUCGAGUAGAAAAUAUGCUUAAACAAAAAUAAUAAUAAUUAGAAAGUAAGCUUCAGCACAGGCUAUGGAACUGACACUGGUAAUCCUCUGGGAGCUGAAGGAAUGUCUUGUGAAGAGUUCUAGAAGGAAACUGUUAGUAAAAUGUUUUAAUGUAAUGAUUAAUGUUGAUUCAUUGAUCUUGCACUGUGCAAAGAUUUCUGCCUACAGUGAGGGGCUAUCAUUAGGCAGUCAGGUAACAGAUACAGGGAUAAACAAUACAUUUUAUUGAAGAAACUGUCUCAUUAGAAAAAUAUUGACAUCUGUAGGCUGCUCAGUGUGACAGGAGAUCCCAGUGACAGGCUAUUUCUAGCACACUGACUGUUUACAAAGCACUGCUAUCACUGUGGCAUCUGAGAGCCAAGAGGGGUUUAAAGCACACCACAAAUGGACAGAGAACAGCCAGUUCAGCUCUCUGCCCUGCCUUGCUUCAGGAGUAAUGCAAGCUUCAAGUUACCACUGCAAGUGCAUCCAAAUAUAUCAGUAUGAUAUACUCUGCUAUCAACAUGGUAGUUUCAGAAAAACUGAGGUAUGGAUGUUGCCUGACCUGUGUGUGUGGUGAAGAUCUUAAGGAUAAAUAAAUACAGAAAAACCUUCAA
Phasianus colchicus (ring-necked pheasant) is the source of this 1143-nucleotide non-coding RNA. NCBI's taxonomy places the organism in Eukaryota, Metazoa, Chordata, Aves, Galliformes, Phasianidae. The record is from RefSeq and is a predicted model, not a curated record.